Molecule: RNA transcript, 12525 nt
Organism: Melospiza melodia melodia
Lineage: Eukaryota; Metazoa; Chordata; Aves; Passeriformes; Passerellidae
Gene: CCDC88A
Gene name: coiled-coil domain containing 88A
Exons: 35
Source: RefSeq, a predicted model, not a curated record
CGGACAGGGAGGGCGGGAGGCAGGCAGGGAGGGAAGGAGGACGAGGACGAGGCGAGCGAUGUGGCGCGGCCGCGCUGGCUGAAGCGAGAAUCCCAGUAGCUAGGCAGCCUCCCUCUUUUCUUUCCUUCCUUCCUUCCACCUCUUCGUUAUGUAGGAAGGGAGAGGCAUCAAUGGAAAGGCUGAGAUACGCGUAGAUGGACUUUCGGAUGCAUUUUUUGUUGAAAGAGGAAGAUAAAUCCCGCUUGCCAGUGCACUGACUUUUGUUGGUGUUGCAUCGCUUGUUAAAAAUGGGGUUCACUCGCUCCAGCUGAAUCCUUGGAGCAUUCCAGAGAGUUGCUGCAGUGAAGGACUUAUCUCGAUUUUCUGCAUCAGAGGAGCUGCAUUGAUGUUAACCAUUUUUUUGUAAAAUGGAGAACGAGAUCUUCACACCCCUUCUGGAGCAGUUCAUGUCGAGCCCUCUUGUCACCUGGGUGAAGACGUUCGGACCGCUGGCUGGAGGAAAUGGGACCAACCUGGAGGAAUAUGUGGCGCUGGUGGAUGGAGUGUAUCUGAACGAAGUCAUGCUGCAAAUCAAUCCAAAGUCUGCUAAUCAGAGGAUAAACAAAAAAGUGAACAAUGAUGCAUCAUUAAGGAUUCAAAAUUUGUCUAUUUUGGUGAAACAAGUCAAAACUUACUAUCAGGAGACUUUGCAGCAGUUGAUCAUGAUGUCUUUGCCAAAUGUGCUAAUAAUUGGCAAAAAUCCUUUUUCUGAGCCAGGUACUGAAGAAGUAAAAAAGCUCCUCCUGCUUUUGCUUGGUUGUGCAGUUCAGUGUCAGAAAAAAGAAGAAUUUAUUGAAAGAAUCCAAAGUCUGGAUUUUGAUACCAGAGCAGCUGUUGCAGCCCAUAUUCAGGAGGUAACUCAUAAUCAGGAAAAUGUGUUUGACCUGCAGUGGAUGGAUGUCAUAGUGCUGACACAAGAGUAUGUUGAGCCUCUCCUGAAAAAUAUGGCAUUGCAUUUAAAAAGGCUUAUAGAUGAAAGAGAUGAGCACUCAGAGACCAUCAUUGAGCUGUCGGAGGAGCGGGACUGCCUGCGCUUCCUGCCGCACGCCUCGGCCGCGCAGUCGCCGUGCGGCUCCCCCGGCAUGAAGCGCACCGAGAGCCGGCAGCACCUGAGCGUGGAGCUCGCCGACGCCAAGGCCAAGAUCAGGAGGCUCAGGCAGGAGCUUGAGGAAAAGACUGAGCAGCUGCUUGACUGUAAACAAGAGCUGGAACAGAUGGAAGCUGAACUGAAGAGACUUCAGCAAGAGAACAUGAACCUGCUGUCGGACGCGCGCUCUGCCCGCGUGUACCGGGACGAGCUGGACGCGCUGCGCGAGAAGGCGAUCCGCGUGGACAAGCUGGAGAGCGAAGUCAGCCGCUACAAGGAGAGGCUCCAUGACAUUGAGUUCUACAAAGCCAGGGUGGAGGAGUUGAAGGAAGACAAUCAAGUGUUGCUAGAAACCAAGACAAUGUUGGAAGAUCAGUUGGAGGGGACCCGAGCUCGAUCAGAUAAACUGCACGAGUUAGAAAAGGAGAAUUUACAGCUGAAGGCUAAACUGCAUGACAUGGAGAUGGAGCGUGAUAUGGACAGAAAGAAGAUUGAGGAGCUCAUGGAGGAAAACAUGACCCUAGAAAUGGCUCAGAAACAAAGUAUGGAUGAGUCUUUGCACCUUGGCUGGGAGCUGGAGCAGAUAAACAGGACUACUGAACUUUCUGAAGUGCCACAGAAAUCACUGGGCCAUGAGGUGAAUGAGCUGACAUCCAGCAGGUUGCUGAAGCUGGAAAUGGAAAACCAAAGUUUGCUGAAGACUGUGGAAGAGCUGCAAAGUGCAGUGGGCUCUGUGGAAGGCAGCAGCUCAAGGAUUCUGAAAAUGGAAAAAGAAAACCAAAGACUUAGCAAGAAGCUUGAAGAGCUGGAGAAUGAAAUUAGCCAAGAGAAACAAAGUCUUCAGAACAGUCAAAAUCAGAGUAAAGAUUUGCUGAAGGAAAAAGCCCAGCUUGAAAAGACACUUGAAGCACUUCGAGAGAACUCCGAGCGACAAAUUAAACUCUUAGAACAAGAAAAUGAACACUUGAAUCAAACCGUGGCUUCUCUAAGGCAGCGCUCACAAAUCAGUGCUGAGGCAAGAAUGAAAGAAAUUGAGAAGGAAAAUAAAAUCCUCCAUGAGUCUAUCAAAGAGACCAGCAGUAAGUUAAAUAAAAUGGAAUUUGAAAAAAAACAAGUCAGGAAAGAACUGGAACACUACAAAGAGAAAGGGGAGAGGGCAGAAGAAUUAGAGAGCGAGGUCCAUCGUCUGGAGAAGGAAAAUGAGUUAUUGCAGAAGAAAAUCACCAACCUAAAAAUCACUUGUGAGAAGAUUGAGGCCUUAGAACAAGAGAACUCUGACCUAGAGACAGAGAACAGAAAGCUGAAAAAAACCUUGGAUAGCCUGAAAAACCUCACUUUUCAAUUGGAAUCCUUAGAAAAGGAGAAUUCCCAACUGGAUGAAGAAAAUUUAGAGUUACGGAGGACAAUCGAAUCCUUGAAGUGUACGAGCAUUAAAGUGGCACAGUUACAGUUAGAAAAUAAGGAGCUGGAGAGUGAAAAGGAGCAGCUCAAAAAAAGCCUUGAGCUGAUGAAAGCCUCUUUUAAAAAGACUGAACGCUUGGAAGUCAGUUACCAAGGCUUGGACACAGAAAACCAAAGGCUACAGAAAGCCCUGGAAAACAGCAAUAAGAAAAUUCAGCAAUUAGAGAGUGAAUUACAAGAUUUAGAGACUGAAAAUCAAACCUUGCAAAAGAACUUGGAAGAGUUAAAAAUCUCCAGUAAGCGCCUGGAGCAGUUGGAAAAGGAGAAUAAGUUGUUAGAACAAGAGACUUCUCAACUGGAAAAGGAUAAGAAACAGCUGGAAAAGGAAAAUAAAAGGCUUCGACAGCAAGCAGAAAUUAAAGAUAGUACCUUGGAAGAAAAUAAUGUCAAAAUCAGUAAUCUGGAAAGGGAAAAUAAAUCUCUGUUUAAAGAAAUAGUUGUGUAUAAAGAGUCCUGUCUGCGCCUGAAGGAGCUGGAAAAGGAAAACAAGGAGCUGGUGAAAAGAGCUACCAUUGAUAAGAAAACCCUGGUCACUUUGAGAGAGGACUUGGUGAAUGAGAAAUUGAAGACUCAACAGAUGAACAAUGAUCUGGAAAAACUGGCCCAUGAGCUUGAGAAAAUUGGCUUGAACAAGGAGCGUCUCCUGCACGAUGAGCAGAGCAGUGAUGACAGUAGGUACAAGCUUUUGGAGUCUAAAUUAGAAUCCACGCUCAAGAAGUCUCUGGAAAUAAAAGAAGAAAAAAUUGCUGCUUUGGAGGCUCGUUUGGAGGAAUCAACAAAUCUGAACCAGCAGCUGCGUCAGGAGCUGAAAACAGUGAAGAAGAACUACGAAGCUCUGAAGCAGAGACAAGAAGAGGAAAGGAUGGUUCAGAAUUCUCCUCCAAGAAGUGGAGAAGGAAAUCAGUCUGUCAAUAAGUGGGAGAAAGAAAAUCAGGAGACUACUAGAGAAUUACUGAAAGUUAAAGAUAGAUUAAUCGAGGUGGAGAGGAAUAACGCGACGCUGCAGGCGGAGAAGCAGGCGCUGAAAACGCAGCUCAAGCAGCUCGAGACACAGAACAACAACCUGCAGGCCCAGAUCCUGGCCCUGCAGAGACAGACUGUGUCCCUGCAGGAGCAGAACACAACUCUGCAAACUCAGAAUGCCAAGCUGCAGGUUGAGAACUCCACGCUGAACUCACAGAGCACGUCGCUGAUGAACCAGAACGCGCAGCUGCUGAUCCAGCAGUCGGCCCUGGAGAGCGAGAACGAGGCGGUGCUGAAGGAGCGCGAGGACCUGAAGGGGCUCUACGAGGCCCUGCUCAAGGACCACGAGCGCCUGGAGCAGCUGCACGAGCGCCAGGCCGCCGAGUACGAGUCCCUGAUCGCCAAGCACGGCAGCCUCAAGGCUGCCCACAAGAACCUGGAGGUGGAGCACAAGGACUUGGAGGAUAGGUACAACCAGUUGCUGAAACAGAAAGUGCAGCUGGAAGAGCUGGAGAAGGUUCUCAAGACAGAGCAGGACAAAAUGCUGCAGCAAAGUGAGAAGCAUGAAACUGUGGCAGCAGAAUAUAAAAAACUUCGGGAUGAAAAUGAAAGGCUCUCUCACACAUACACUCAGCUCCUGAGGGAGAAUGAAGUGCUGCAGACUGACCACAAGAAUCUGAAAACAUUGUUGAACAGUUCCAAACUGGAGCAAACACGGUUGGAAGCUGAGUUUUCCAAACUCAAAGAACAGUACCAGCAACUGGAUAUUACAUCAACAAAGCUGAAUAAUCAGUGUGAGCUGCUCAGCCAACUGAAAGGAAACCUGGAGGAGGAAAACAGACACCUGCUGGAUCAAAUCCAGACCUUAAUGCUGCAGAACAGAACAUUACUGGAGCAGAACAUGGAAAGCAAGGAUCUGUUCCAUGUAGAGCAAAGGCAGUACAUUGACAAACUAAAUGAAUUGAGGCGGCAGAAGGAGAAACUGGAGGAGAAGAUAAUGGAUCAGUAUAAAUUCUAUGAGCCAUCUCCACCAAGAAGAAGGGGCAACUGGAUCACGCUGAAGAUGAGGAAGCUGAUCAAGUCCAAGAAGGACGGGAACCGCGAGCGCCUCAAGUCGGUGACGCUGACGCCCACGCGCUCCGAGUCCAGCGAGGGAUUCCUGCAGCUGCCCCACCAGGACAGCCAGGACAGCUCCUCCGUGGGCUCCAACUCCCUGGAGGAUGGGCAGACCCUGGGCACCAAAAAGAGUAGCAUGGGUGCACUGAAAAGACUGCCCUUUUUGAGGAACAGACCGAAGGAAAAAGACAAAAUGAAGGCCUUCUACCGUCGCUCCAUGUCCAUGAAUGACCUGGUGCAGUCCAUGGUCCUGGCAGGAGGACAAUGGACAGGUAGUUCUGAGCAUCUGGAGGGUCCUGAUGAUAUAUCCACGGGUAAAAGGAGGAAGGAAUUGGGAGCUAUGGCCUUCUCUACUACAGCUAUCAACUUUGCCACUGUCAACUCCUCCACAGGCUUCAGAUCCAAGCAGUUGCUAAAUAAUAAAGAUACUACAUCCUUUGAAGAUGUAAGUCCACAAGGUAUUAGUGAUGAUUCUAGUACAGGAUCAAGAGUUCAUGGAGUACAGGACUUUAUCUGUGCAGAUGCUCUUGCUCCUCCUGUCCGUGGCCUCCCAGCCCUGUGCAGGGUUCCCUGUCAGAUCUGUUUGCCCUUUUCCAAAGUGUCCUCUUGGACCACCUGGAAAUUCCUUCGCUUUCUGAUCUCUUCCAGACCAGCCAGCCUUGAUAGUGGCAGGACAUCCACUAGCAAUAGCAAUAACAAUGCUUCACUCCAUGAAGUCAAAGCAGGUGCAGUGACCAGCCAGAGCAGGCCCCAGAGCCACAGCAGUGGGGAGUUCAGCCUGCUCCAGGAGCACGAGGCCUGGUCCAGCAGCAGCAGCAGCCCCAUCCAGUACCUGAAGGGCCACACCAGGUCCAGCCCCGUGCUCCAGCACAGGACACCUGAGAGCCACAGCAAGCCCCCCAAAACGGGCUCCCCUGGCAGUGAAGUGGUCACCCUGCAGCAGUUCCUGGAGGAAAGCAACAAGAGUAACUCCAGUGAGAUGAAGUCUGCAAGUGAGGAGAACCUUUUAGAUGAAGUGAUGAGGAGCUUGUCCGAGUCUGCGGAGCUGGCAGGGAGGGAGAAGCUGCGGAAGCAGCCGGCGGCUGGCUGUGGGAUCGUGAGAUCCCUGAGUGUCAGAACCACGGGGGAUUUCUCAGAUGGACGAUCCCUCAAAGCAGAGCAGCUGGUGAGGCCCAGCCUCAGGAAGGCUGAGGAUCUCUACUUCAGCAGCUCUCCCAUCAAAUUCAGCUCCGGCGCCCAGGGGAAGCCCCGCUCCGUGAAGGAAAAGAUCCAAGCAACGGUGACCCAGCGACAAUCCAGGGACUGCAACCCCUACGCCACCUUACCUCGUGCCAGCAGCGUCAUUUCCACGGCAGAAGGCAGCACCCGAAGGACAAGCAUCCAUGAUUUUUUGUCUAAGGACAGUAGGCCGCCCGUGCCCGUGGAUGCAGCCCCAGCCCCGGCCGACAGGAGUGCUCCGCCCAGCUCCAGUGAGUACUCGGCUCUGCGGGUGUCCUCUCCUUGUGUUCACGGUGUGCCUGCCCGGGGGGAGCGCGGCCCGCAGGGAGAGGCGGCUCCCACGCUCACAGCGCGCCCUGUAGGAGGUAACUCUGAGCUGGCCAAGCCUUCCAGGAUGGAAAGGCCAGGUGGUCGGGAGAGGACUUUGCCGAGCGCGGGCGCGUUCUGGGAUAAAGCCAGCGGGGCUGGGAGUGGCAGUGCAGGGUCCUUCACUGCGCCCCAGCCCUUCCUAUCCCUCAACACCGAGUUAGUCAGCAAUAUCAGUGGGUUGCCCCCGAGAUCCACCUCCAAAACAGCUGACCAGGCAAACGUGUCAGCGUUCAGGUCAGUGCUGAGGAGCCAGGAGCAGCCUUGUGCUGCUCCAAAGGCCCAGGGUGACCCACGGGCAGCUCUGACCGGGGACCCUGUCCCUGCCCCCGGCCCCACUGAGGCCCAGUCCCCACUGCUGGUCUCAGAAGAUAACCAGACCCUGUGGUAUGAGUAUGGCUGUGUAUGAAGGAAAGCUGUAUUAUUAAAUAUUUAUGUCUAACAUGCCAUAAAGGUGUUCUCCAUGUCCACUGGAUGACAGAGGAAACUUCCCUCCAAUGAAGGAAUCAUUGCUGUUUAUCCGCGGGGUGGUUGUUCCCUGUGGACUCUGUGGCAUGUUUGAAUGUGGAAUUGUAACCCCACCAAAGUCUGCAUGAACCAUUAAUUGCACUGUGUAUAUUUUGCAUGCCUUUAUAAUACAAGCUCUAUUUUUAUUUGUCAUGCAUUGCAAAUAUUUUGGUGUUUUCCUGUUGGUUACUGCUGCAUGUUAAAGCGAGCGCAUGCCCGGGACGGUGCAGGGAGCAGCAUUCCUGGGACAAGGACAGCACUGGCAGGGGAGAUCGAGCUCUCAGGGCUCUCAGUAAUACACUAAUUAUCUACCUAGAGGGAAAAAAACCUUUUUGUUCUUCUUUCAAAAAUGAGGUAUUAAUGGAAAGAAGCAUUUGGAGAUAUCUCAGUGUCUUCUUAGCCUUUUCAUUUAUGCUGUGUCAUGGCAUAAAUGCACAAGGAACAAGUGCCCAGUAAUCCAAAUAAUUCAGUGCCUCUAGUUUGCACAGUAAAUAUUAAUUACUGUCCAUACUGAGUAAUAAACACACAAGGCCAUUCAUAAUCCUGAACAGAAAUGAGAAUUCUUACAAAGAGGUGAUAAAUAGUUGCAUGACACACAGCACUUGUCAUGAAAAAAUGACCUUUUCCACCUUUUCCCUGUGGUCUGCUUUGUCGUUCCAGUUGUGGGUACAGUUGUGGUGAAGUGUUUGGUUUUAUCAGGGGUCAAAUAACAGGCUCCUUGUGAUGCAUAGGAAUAAAAAACUGUCUUGAGUAUGGUGGAAAUUCAUUUUUUCUUGUCAAUGGAAGUACCACUGAUGUAAUAAAAAACAAAUGGUGUAACAAAAUAGCAGAAAAUGUUAAAUUAAUGCAGUUAAAUAAAAGAAAAAAUAACAAAGUUGCUUGCAAGGUUAUGGGAGGAUAUGAAUACUUCAGCAAAUAACUCCUUAAAUUCCAGAUGAGCAGCUAAAGAGAAAUGUUGAAAAGUAAUUAGUUAAUGUGCCACUGGCUCUGCACAUGCUUGGAACUUGUCAAUGGUAAAUUCAAAGAGAGUUUAAAAUUGUAUCAGAUUUGAGGUAUAAUUACACUAGGAUUUGGACAUGAGCACUUCUUUGCAAGAGGACAUUGUUUAUGGCAGUUACAAAAAAUUGGAAUGACAGUAUAGCUAGAGGAAAAAUAAUUAAAAUUGAAAAUAUAUAUUGAAAACAAGUGUCACGUUCUGUUUUGUACAAUUGCAUUUAUUCUGCCAGCAGUUUUGUGGCAGUCACAGAACCACUGUGUGGGCUGAACUUUUAAUUCCUUAGCGCUUAGUUAGGGAGGGGCAGUGAAUCCAUAGCUCCCAAGGAAGAGCAGCAGAUAUCCCAUGUGGGAGUCUGGAAGGGCUCUGUUUUGUGUGGGAUGGGAAGCCCUGCAGUUCAUGAACAAGGGGAGGAUACUGAAUGCGUGUGGAGAAUAAAAUGUUGUUUGGAGGAUGUGGCACAGUCCUUCCCCAGGUCUGCACCACUUGUUGUUAUUGGGCUGAUAAAUCUCUCACUUCUCCCAGCACUGGGCACAGUCAGUUAUUGCUGUGUUCCCUCUGGAACUAUCUCAGCAGCAAAAGAAUGAGAAAUCUGAGCUAUAUAAUCUCAAUUCCACACAUGUUUACUCUCACAGAGCAAGACCAGUGUUCUAGUCUUGGGUUAUGCCAUUUUACUUCAGUUCAUCUGUAGUUGUGUUGGGAUUAGGUUGGAGGUGAGGAGCACCAGCAUCCCAAGUGAUGUGUGCACAAGGCGUUUUGCAAGUUGUUUAAAGAAUUGCAAUCCUAGAGAGCCCUUAAUGCAAACUCAUCCUGAGCUGCCAGGCUCUGGCUUUUCUUCCCUGUGCCCUGCAGAGCCACUGCUCAGAACAAGGUGUGCAGCUGCUUUAGGUCAGCUCUGGCUGCAGAAGCCUCAGGUGUGCUGUUGCCUCCUCCUCUUGCUUAGGUUCUUAGACAGUCACACCUACAAAAACUCCCAGUAUUGUCCUCAGCUUCCCUCUGAAACCCCAAGGGCUUUGGAAUGGCCAGACAGGAGUGUCCUGGAGCACCAGUGUCUCCAGUCUGCUGGAGCUGGAGACUAACCUUGUCCAGCUCAAGGCACUCUGCUCUGAUUUGUAAAUUUGCAAGGAAUUGCAUUUCAGUUCUGAGGAUAAUAACUUGUUUUGUUCCACUGAGUUCAGCAGCAGCAGAAUGAUCUGCAAGAGAGUGUUUAAUGGCUCUGAAUAAUGUCUUAUCAACAUUUGUUUGUUACAUAUGAAAAAAAGAAAAUGUUGUCAUGGACAGAAGGAUCUUUUUUCUCCUUCACAUUUUGGAUGUUUGUGGAUGUCUGUCUCUGUUCAAGUAGUGGAAGGUUCCAUGGAAUUCUUUCCAUUCCCAAUCCCUGCUGCUCCUCAGCCCCAUGUGCAUGGCAGGAUGGAGCCCCUUGCUCAUUCCUUGUUCCUGCUGCCUUGGGCAGUGCUGAGUUAGGGCUUUGCAUGAUACUGAUAAACACUAAAUGUGUGGCUGCUGCCCAGAAAGGUUUUGUUGUUCAGCUCAGCCAUUUGCUCACAGUUGAGGUUUGCCUGGCUCAGGGUUUGCUUGAUGCUUUGCUUUCAGUGACUGGUGAGUUCAGAUCUGCAUUUUGCAUGUUUGAGCUGUUGCAUGCAAAGACAGUUUUGUGGUUGUGGAGCUGAAUGUGAAUGUUCCUGUCGGUGUGCAGCAGGUCAAAACACAGUGAAAGAAGUUCUCUGCUAGGGCCAGUCAGCUGUGAUUGCACCUCAUUAUUGCUUUUUAUCUCCAUUCAUGCAGAAAUGUAGGGUUGGUGUAGCUAAAGGUGACAUGUAUCUGACUGUGGCUUUAGGAAUAACACCUGGCUGCUGUAAGUGCUGAGAUGAAUGUCAGUGAGUGUAGCUGAGCAGGCACUUGCAGUGAGUUUCUUCUGUCCCUCUCCUCUGUCCUUUCCUCCUAAAAACAACCAGGAAGUGUUCAUGUAUCCUUUUGCUCUCCUAAUGAGUAGAAUGUGUUUUAAUGCAUGAGGGUUUUUUUCAUGUCCUGAUAAACACAAUGAAUAACUUGAAAUGCUUUUCUCUGCAGAUGUGGAAGCUAUCCCAGAAAGCAGAAAUUCAAAAAGCAGGUCUAGGGAGCAACAAAGCUCCUAAUUCUAUUACCCACUACCUGAGCUGUGGGCCAAGUGAGAGAAAAGUGUCCUUCAGUAUCUCAGUGUGAAGCCUUUAUAUCUGAAGUAACAAGACAGCGACUGUAGGAAUCAUUAAUAAAAAAUUAAGGGAAUUUUUUACAUUCUUCGUGACUAGAGCAGGCAAGAAAUAAAAACCUACCUACCUACCUUCCUUCCUUCCUUGAAUCAAGGAGCUCUACUGGAGUCUACUGCCGAAAAUGUGUAGAUGGUCUUAGGAAUUAUUGCACAUUGCACUGUUAAGAUCUACUGAAUAAAGGACAGUUCUCAUCUCCCUAAGGACCAAGGAUUUUAAGGUCUCAAGAAUUACUCCAGGGCAAAAAAUAAAAAAAAAAACAAAACAAAACUUCUUUUAUCUUCUGUUUUUGAAAUUAGCCACUGAUUUGCUUAAGCUUCUGCUAAUAAUUAGCCAAACCCCCCCAAAGCUAGCAGUUUCUAUUUACGUCUGUAAAUCUAAAGGAAAUGCUGUAGAAUUUUGUUGAAAUGGACUGUAUAUACAGAUACAAAAACCUCACAGCUACUGGCACUUCACUGCCUUAUUUGGUUAGCAUAAUCUGCAUGAAAUUGCUCUUAAGAAAGUUUAUGCUGAUUUUUGUUGCAUACUGCAAGAGAAGAAUUUGUUUACAUCCAUGCAAAAGCUUGGUAACUAACAGAAGUGGGAGUCAUGGGAUAAUGGUAUUAUAGAGACAUUGUUUGUCCUUUGUGUUUUUCACAUUCCCCAGUUACUCUGCAUAUGUAUGUUCAGAUGUUUCUGACAGGAAAUUGUCGGGUAUGGUUUUUCUAUAACUUUUAUUUUAAUACAAGGCUGUUUUCCACAAAUGCCAUUUCCAGGAAAAGACUGUCUUACAUUGUUUGUGUAUUGACUAAUUUUUUUUUUUUUACUGUUUGUCUUCUGACAUGAGCUGAUUGUGGCUUAGGAGGUUUCUUGAUGGCAAAAAGAAAUGUAAAUAAUAUCAUAUGCAUUUUACAUUCAGUUCCCUCUAAGGUUAUCUUUUACUAGAUAUAUUUUGUUCAUUAUUGAUUUAUAUUAAAGUCAACAAACAUUAUUGGUACAUUUGGUGGUCGCAUAUAUUUGUCUGGAAAGAUUUGCAGCGAGCUCAGAGGAAGAUGAUGGGAACUGAGAUCCAAAACAAGUUGUUCCAUUUUAUUAAAGCCAGUAAGCACAUUCCUGUUCCUCAUGUAAAGGACUGAGUUCCCUGUGUCACCUCCGAGUGUCCAGCAGGAGGUGCACAAUGUCACCUGCAGCUUCCUCAGAAGGUGAGCCCACUGCUGAAGGCAGUUCAACACAUUCAGAAGCUUGAAAUCGUCUCACAAAAGGGAAGAAAGAGGCAUGCACAAUAAGCUUUAGAAGGGGAGAUUUUCUGUUUGUUUUCUUGAAAAUGAGUUUCUUCUGAAAUUUUCUUUGGGAUAAAAUGGGCUAAAAGAUCUGUACUAAGGGCAUAGCGGGUAUGGCAGACAAUUCAAAGGCCAUAAAGAUCAGGAAAAUCUCUCUUCACUCUGAAUGACUGUGGGUUCAAGCUCAUUUCAGGACCUGGGUUCUCCUCACUCUCUGCUGACAGAGGACUGAGCAGCUCAAACCCCCAGCCAGAACCAUUUCUCACAUUACUGUUACAGAACCAUGCAGGGCUUGAACCAGGAGAUGGAAACUGCAGUGCCAAAUGCUGCCAGGAUCCCAGCUGGGUGCCUGUGUCUGGGGACUGUCACUGUCACUGCUUUGGCACACACUGCUGUGUGUGGAGCACUGCUGGGCAGUGUCAGUGCCCUCAGCACAGCUGGAUGUGCCCUUUCCAUCACACAGGGAUCCCCUCCUGCUCCACUGGCCAGCUCAGCUCUUCUCAAGCUGCUGCUUUUGCUUUGCUUUGCUUUGCUUUGCAGAGAAGUUCCCUGGCACUGGAGCAGUCAGGUGGCUCUCUGUGCUCUGCCAGUUCCCCUUUCCUUCUUCCUUUCUUCACCUUCCCACUCUGUGCCCUUAAAGGGAAAUACAAAAAACCAAAUUUAACCUGGGAGCAGUUUCAGUUCCUGCUGCUCCCAAUGCCAGGGAUGCACAUGGCAGCUUUGUACCCCAGGAAUGCCAACCCCAGCACUGCCAGUUCCAGGUCACAGAGGAGGUUCUCAUGCCAUACAAUGUGUGUGUUCUAUUUGCUUUUCUGAUAGUCUCUGAGGAUUUAGUAACAUUCCCAGCACCUAUUGUUAUUAUCAUUAUUUCUAAAUUUUGUCCAGGACAUGAUGCAGCCUAACAAAGGGAGCUCAUGUGUGAUUUUUAGGGGUAGCUGAUGAUGUAUAUGUAAAUAAUGCUUUGAUAUUAAUAAAACUGCCUUAAAGGAAUGUACCGAGGUGUGAAUCAGAACUUAAAAAGCUCUUAUUUAAAACUGUAAUUUCCUUUACAUAUUGAUUUUUUUAAUGUUUGCCAUUGUAUACAUUUAUUAAUGAUGUUAUUAAAAUGCCAAACCAAAUAAUUUUUAUUCUUAUUUUGUGUGUGUAUAUUUAUACACACUUUUUUCUGGAAACUGAUGUUACUGGAAGGGUAUUGGUGUCGUGGUGAUGUGUGCAGUGAGUAUUUCUUCUGGAAGGAAACUGAUAAAACUGUAGCAGAAUUUUUCUGGA